This is a long non-coding RNA of Vidua chalybeata, 755 nucleotides long. RefSeq lists it as uncharacterized. The transcript has 3 exons. The record is from RefSeq and is a predicted model, not a curated record. Lineage: Eukaryota; Metazoa; Chordata; Aves; Passeriformes; Viduidae.
AUCCCUAGGUGACAGCAUCAGAGUACUCCCACAGCAACAUAAAUGUGCUGGUGCCUCCUGGACUCAUCAUGAUGGACUUGAGCAAAGCCUGUCCAGCCUUUCUUCAGGAUGUCGCGCCUAUAAACAACAACAACAAAAAUAUACAGAAAUUUACAUGCAAGAUACCACAACAAUACUCACUUUCUACACCAUUUCCAGCAGGGAUUUAAGACCUCUACCAGUCCCCCAAGAACACCCUGCUUACUCUCAGCAUAGGGACUUAUCCAUAAUGUUCUUCAGGUGGCUCUCAUCAUUAGCCAGAAUGUCUCCAGCUGAUGUAACCAAUUAAGUUAGAUUUUCUUCUAUAAAGCCCUCCACUGGAGAAUAGGGCAGCUUGAGGAAAAGUGGAAUGGUUUGAACAGGCUAAACAUUCCUAAUUUCAAGAAUCUUUGUCAGAGGGCUAAAGCCUGAAAGUGUUGUUUUAUCACAAAUAUGAAAACAUCAUAAAGAAGAUGAAAUGAAUGUCCUUGCCUGUAUUAUUCAAAUGCAAAAGAAAUACACAUAUCACAAUGAAAGGAGGCAACAACAUGGGAGUAAAUUUUCCUUUAAAUUGGAAGACACAGUGGCUUAUGCCACAAAUGAAAUAAAUUUCACAGGAGAAGAAAACAUUAUGGCUGGCUCAUCUUACAGUGGAAUCACAGUGACAUUAGCAGGAGUGCGACUGACAUAAGGCAGCAAGUUGUCCCAAUAGCUCAAACAAAAUGGGCUCAAUUUUA